GACGAACGCUGGCGGCGUGCUUAACACAUGCAAGUCGAACGAAGUGUCGAACGGGUGAGUAACACGUAAUCCACCUGCCCUUCAGAGGGGGACAACAGUUGGACACGACUGCUAAUACCGCAUACUGAAGGAGGGGAUUGCGUCUGAUUAGCUAGUUGGAGGGUUAACGGCCCACCAAGGCGAUGAUCAGGAGACGGUCGGAGGGGAGGAAAGGCCACAGGGGGACUGAGACACGGCCCAGACUCCGACGGGAGGCAGCAGUAGGGAAUCUGCGGCAAUGGACGAAAGUCUGACCGAGAAAAGACGCGUGAGUGAAGAAGGGUUUAGGAUCGUAAAACGCUGUUGUAAGAGAAGCGGUAUCUUACCAGAAAGCCACGGCUAACUACGGGCCAGCAGCCGCGGUAAUUC
This 408-nucleotide ribosomal RNA is filed under the name uncultured bacterium. RNAcentral describes it as "partial 16S ribosomal RNA". It matches the Rfam family "Bacterial small subunit ribosomal RNA", at positions 28 to 526 of the family's 1533-position model. The record is from RNAcentral.